This 401-nucleotide ribosomal RNA is filed under the name uncultured organism. RNAcentral describes it as "bacterial SSU rRNA". It matches the Rfam family "Bacterial small subunit ribosomal RNA", at positions 45 to 433 of the family's 1533-position model. The record is from RNAcentral.
UGCCUAACACAUGCAAGUCGAACGGACCUUUAAUUUUGAAGCUUCGGCAGAUUUUUUAACGGUUAGUGGCAAACGGGUGAGUAAUGCAUAGGUAACUUGCCCUCAAGCCUGGGACAACUUUCCGAAAGGGAAGCUAAUACCGGAUAAUCUUUUCGAAUCUACUGGUUUGAAAAGCAAAGAUUUAUCGCUUGAGGAGAGGCCUAUGUCUGAUUAGCUAGUUGGUGGGGUAAUGGCCUACCAAGGUUACGAUCAGUAGCUGGUCUGAGAGGACGGACAGCCACACUGGGACUGAGACACGGCCCAGACUCCUACGGGAGGCAGCAGUGGGGAAUAUUGGACAAUGGGGGCAACCCUGAUCCAGCCAUGCCGCGUGAGUUUAAGGCCUUCGGGUUGUAAAGCUC